AAAAAAUAUCAACUUUUCCAUUUUUAUCCAUCCCAUAAGAAAUUAUCGUUUUCCCUUUGGGACAUGAAUCCACACAUUAUCUACCACACACAUCAUCAUUUUCUUAAAAAAGUAGUGGAUCCAUUUUCUCCACUCAACAUAUUACUAACCAAACAUUUCUUAAAACUCGUGUUAUCUCACAACCACAAGUGAUACUCUUUUACGGGACGGAGAGAAUAUUUUUUAGAUCCCUAUAUCUUGAAUUAGAUAGAGAAAGGAUCAUUGAUGUGUGUAUUUUAGUUGUUCAUAUUCUUGAAUUAUUUUGUACGAAUUUAAUAUACAAAAUUAAAUGAAUUUUUGUGCAGGAAUUGAAGAAUUUGAUGGCGAUGAGGUCGAAUGAAAGAAGGAUGAAAAAUAUGGGAUUUUAAUAUCAAUUUGUGAAGAUCCAAAAGACGCACGAAUUAUUUGGUGGUAUACGACGUCCACCAAUCAUUUUGUAAGGGCCGUGUCUUUUUUUUCAUGAUUUGAUGCUUCUUCGAAAGACAGGAUCCAUGCAAAUGAUGAUGUUGAUUGCUUUCAACAAAAUUCUAUAUGAGUUCAACUUCACAAUAUAUCAAUUGCGUGCAUGGAAUCCCAAAUUAUCAGAUGUAUUGGAGAGCGAAUUAGAGAGGUGUUAGAGGUGGAUAAUGGAGCGAACGGUAUGUGUCUUGGAGGAUAUGAACGGGUAUGGGCUAUUAGAUAUAUUGGUGAACUGCCCAUUCAAUGUGUUCCAGUUAUAGUUCUAUGAGAGAUGAGAAAGGUGUUGUUUUUUGGUGCUCUACAAGAAUUUAUCAGAUUUGUUUUUGCCUGAACACCACAUGAAAAUUUUUGAUGUUGAUGUAGAAGCAAAGACAAACCUACAAUUCAGGGUGUGGCUUCGUACAAAUAGGGGCAUUGAUUAUCGGCGAACAAGUCACUAUCCACGGCCGAAUACUAACUCAUACGGAUGUAGGCCCCUAUCCAAAGCUAAUCAUAGGGGUCUCGUCUUCUCCCGAGACCAGAAGUUGGUCGUGAAAGUGAGAUAUAACAGCAAGGUGAAAAGGCAAACAUUGAUGGAUGUGUGGAAAAUGAGGCUGAACAUGUUGGGAAUAAGCUUAUUAUAAUAUUAUUGAGUUUACACAAGACAUGAGGAUCGUCAAGAUGUGGAGUUGGAGGGGAACAUGCUGACUAUUGGUGGGGAAUAGCAAUGAAGGUGAUAAUAGUGCUUCGGGAGAAAGAAUGAGGAUAGAACUGCGCCAUGAGAGUAACAUUAAUACAAUAAUGACUGAUAUUGUAUCCCCACAAAAAGUAAAAGGAGACACAAAUGAUGUAAAAGAAAGGCGAUGGAGAACGGGACUACAACCACGAACUCAUUUGCUAUAAAAAUGGAUGACUGCAUCAGUGUAGAAAAGUCAUUCUUGGAUGACAACCUCGAGGCCCCAAGCACAAAAUGGCUAAACUUCAUGGCAGUGAUGAGUAAACCAAGUACACAAUGGUGGCUGCUGCAGAGCAGUGCUGACGAGAAUUGUGAGUGUUAUAGUAUGCAAUUCGCAGGGGUUGGGAAGUUUCCACGUAUUCCAGGAACUCUGACGUCUCAUCGCAGAUACUUUCCUAAUUCUAGUUGUUCUCUAUGAAACUAAACUAGUUGCUCGUAUAUGUAAUUUUUUGGAGGACAAUGUUGGGAUAUUCGGGUAUUUUGUCGUGGAUGUAUUAUAUAAUAGAAUGAGAUCUCAUCAUUAUUCAGAAUU
This is a long non-coding RNA of Salvia miltiorrhiza (redroot sage), 1745 nucleotides long. RefSeq lists it as uncharacterized. The transcript has 3 exons. NCBI's taxonomy places the organism in Eukaryota, Viridiplantae, Streptophyta, Magnoliopsida, Lamiales, Lamiaceae. The record is from RefSeq and is a predicted model, not a curated record.